GGCUUGGUGAGAGAGAAAGGCUCCCCACGCGCGCGCCGCCGCCGUCCUGCCGGCGUGGGCUUGGACUUGAGCUGGGGCUUGGGUGGGCAUUUGGCCCGAUAAGAAUUAUUUUUUUUGGACCAAGUUAAGCUCAACGUUUUGCCAUUUAUUUCGGGAAAAAACAGCAUACAAUUUUAUUUAAAACGACAAGUAGUUUGUCUAGAAAAUAAAAACGUCAUGCAUUUUAUCCUCUCGAAAGUUUAAAACG
RNAcentral lists this long non-coding RNA (247 nucleotides) under Brassica rapa (field mustard). RNAcentral describes it as "long non-coding RNA (BRAP_LNC006670)". The record is from RNAcentral. Lineage: Eukaryota; Viridiplantae; Streptophyta; Magnoliopsida; Brassicales; Brassicaceae.